RNA transcript from Olea europaea var. sylvestris, 1093 nucleotides. It is a transcript of the gene named F-box protein PP2-B11-like, with no coding region annotated. Lineage: Eukaryota; Viridiplantae; Streptophyta; Magnoliopsida; Lamiales; Oleaceae. The record is from RefSeq and is a predicted model, not a curated record. The transcript is spliced from 3 exons.
AAUUUCAAAAAGUUAGAAACAUAAAUGUAAUAAUGAACAAGGGUUAUAAACAUUUCAUGCAAUUAAAAUUUGUUGCACUGGUAAUUUUUAUAUCGAGGAGUUGACAAAAAUCAGUCAAGUUGGAGCAUCAACCAGUUCCAAUUAUAUCUAAUUAAAUGUAAAAAAUAUGGUACCCAUUUAAUUAUUGUUCUUAUUAGAUAUUUUCAUCUAUCUAGACCGAUAUUUUACUAUGGUGUUAGAUAGCAUUAUUCUUUUAAAAAGCAUACAUUAUUCUUUUCUAGAUUCUCUUUAAUCAAACCAAAAUGAAAAAUGCAAAAAGAUGAUUCUUGAUGAGAAAUCUUGACAGCACUAAAAGUCCCUCGUGAAACGCUCGAAUGAUUUGAUAUCAGUUAUUCCUAUUUAUCUUUAUAUGAGUAGUGGAUUCCCAUAACAAGAGGGACAACAAAAAUGAAGGUCUUGCCUUUCUUUAUAUCUAUUUAUCCUCACAUAGAAAGUGGAUUCUCAUAACGAGAGAUACAUCAUGCCUUUCUUUAUCCCUGUUUAUCCUUUUAUACAUAAAGUUUAUUCUUAUGAUGAGAGAGACAAGGGAAUGCAAGUCGUGGAUAAAGCAUAAUAUUCACACAUUCGCCAUUGGUACAUGCAUUUCCAUAUCCUUAUAUAUACAUGAUAUUAUGACAAAGAGGGAUUCAUAGAGUGAGAGAGAUAAGGGAGAAGUAGAGGCGUUGAUACAAAGCACAAUGAUGCUGAAGUGGCAUGCACCUUAGCGCUUGGUUUGAACUUCAUAAAUUCAACAAUUAUGCUACACAGCAAGAGCAAGUGGAUACCAACACAGUAGCUUAUUAUUCAUAAAGAGAAAGAAGGGUGGUUAUCGACUUAUCCUCCAGGCUGCACAAUAUUUUCUCUCUCUCUCCCUCUCUCUCAAUAUGAUGAUCAUUACUUUUCCUUUAUCUAAUUAAGUAAAUAAGGUUAUCCCAUCUCUAACAAUAUAGAUGAGGUGGUUUAUCUACAUGUACAAAGGCUUAUUCAUACAAUGAUAAACAAUCUGUAAAUUUCAUUGAAGAUGAUGAUGAGCAAUUUAUAUGUUGGUUGCAUA